This 207-nucleotide ribosomal RNA is filed under the name uncultured bacterium. RNAcentral's name for it is "partial 16S ribosomal RNA". It matches the Rfam family "Bacterial small subunit ribosomal RNA", at positions 568 to 774 of the family's 1533-position model. The record is from RNAcentral.
CGCGUAGGCGGUUCCGUAAGUUAGAUGUGAAAGACCCUGGCUCAACCAGGGAACGGCAUCUGAAACUGCGGGGCUAGAGGCCGAGAGGGGUGAGCGGAACUCCUGGUGGAGCGGUGAAAUGCGUAGAUAUCAGGAGGAACACCGGUGGCGAAAGCGGCUCACUGGCUCGGUUCUGACGCUGAGGUGCGAAAGCCAGGGUAGCGAACG